AUUCUCAACUCUGAUCGAUUUGUUUCGACUUCGGAGCUUGGAUUUGGAGCGUGCUGGCGUCGGUCGGCUCCUCUUAAAUGCAUCAGCGGAAUCUAACGUUUCGGACGUCAGUGUGAUAAUCAUGUUGCGCUGUCUGUCUGAUCCGAAAGCCCGCUCACAAUGGUCUUCGGACAACUUCAUAUCAAAUUUGACCUCAGAUCAGGUAGGACUACCCGCUGAACUUAAGCAUAUCAAUAAGCGGAGGAAAAGAAACUAACAAGGAUUCCCCUAGUAACUGCGAGUGAAGCGGGAAAAGCUCAAAUUUAAAAUCUGGCCGUCUUGCGGCCGUCCGAGUUGUAAUCUGGAGAAGCGUUUAUCCGCGUCGGACCGUGUACAAGUCUUCUGGAAGGGAGCGUCGUAGAGGGUGAGAAUCCCGUCUUUGACACGGACAACCGGUGCUUUUGUGAUGCGCUCUCGAAGAGUCGAGUUGUUUGGGAAUGCAGCUCAAAAUGGGUGGUAAAUUCCAUCUAAAGCUAAAUAUUGGCGAGAGACCGAUAGCGAACAAGUACCGUGAGGGAAAGAUGAAAAGCACUUUGGAAAGAGAGUUAAACAGUACGUGAAAUUGUUGAAAGGGAAACGUUUGAAGUCAGUCGCGUCGGCCGAGACUCAACCUUGCUUCUGCUCGGUGCACUUCUCGGUUGACGGGUCAGCAUCAAUUUUGACCGCCGGAUAAAGGUCGGGGGAAUGUGGCAUCCUUCGGGAUGUGUUAUAGACCUCGAUUCGGAUACGGCGAUUGGGAUUGAGGAACUCGGCGCUUUGCGUCCAGGAUGCUGGCAUAAUGGCUUUAAGCGACCCGUCUUGAAACACGGACC
Molecule: ribosomal RNA, 851 nt
Filed under: uncultured fungus
Lineage: Eukaryota; Fungi
Description: eukaryotic LSU rRNA
Rfam family: Eukaryotic large subunit ribosomal RNA (bases 189-851)
Source: RNAcentral